This 464-nucleotide ribosomal RNA is filed under the name uncultured bacterium. Its description in RNAcentral is "partial 16S ribosomal RNA". It matches the Rfam family "Bacterial small subunit ribosomal RNA", at positions 30 to 507 of the family's 1533-position model. The record is from RNAcentral.
CGAACGCUGGCGGCGCGCCUAACACAUGCAAGUCGAACGAGCGAGAGAGAGCUUGCUUUCUCGAGCGAGUGGCGAACGGGUGAGUAACGCGUGAGGAACCUGCCUCAAAGAGGGGGACAACAGUUGGAAACGACUGCUAAUACCGCAUAAGCCCACGGGUCGGCAUCGACCAGAGGGAAAAGGAGCAAUCCGCUUUGAGAUGGCCUCGCGUCCGAUUAGCUAGUUGGUGAGGUAAUGGCCCACCAAGGCGACGAUCGGUAGCCGGACUGAGAGGUUGAACGGCCACAUUGGGACUGAGACACGGCCCAGACUCCUACGGGAGGCAGCAGUGGGGAAUAUUGCACAAUGGGGGAAACCCUGAUGCAGCGACGCCGCGUGGAGGAAGAAGGUCUUCGGAUUGUAAACUCCUGUUGUUGGGGAAGAUAAUGACGGUACCCAACAAGGAAGUGACGGCUAACUACGUG